This 82-nucleotide transfer RNA is filed under the name Nocardioidaceae bacterium. RNAcentral's name for it is "tRNA-Tyr". It matches the Rfam family "tRNA". Rfam says of the family: Transfer RNA (tRNA) molecules are approximately 80 nucleotides in length. The record is from RNAcentral. RNAcentral also lists the same sequence under 1 other name. Lineage: Bacteria; Bacillati; Actinomycetota; Actinomycetes; Propionibacteriales; Nocardioidaceae.
GGCAGGUUGCCCGAGCGGCCAAAGGGAGCUGACUGUAAAUCAGCCGUCACUGACUUCGCAGGUUCGAAUCCUGCACCUGCCA